CUUGUAGGUGACAUGAGAAGCUCACUGCCCGAGGCCCAGCUCUGCAAUCCUUUCUCAUACCCAGUUGCCUCCUGGAUUCCAUUGACACCACCUGCAUGAGCACUACAGGAUACAUCUUACAAAGCAAUGGUAGCUACUGCUGGAAGGCAUUCAAAGAACAAAUCUCUGUUUCUAGCCACAGCUACAGGACAUCAAAAACACAAUCAAACCUAAGCUUCACCAGCUCCAACUGCCUGGUCUCUGCUUACCUGAAUUUGCAAUGGUCUGUUUGUGAGUUUGCUGUAGAGAUGAUUUUCCAUGAAGCAUGAUUUGUUUCUUGAGCACUGUGCCAUUGUGUGUCUCCAAUUAUGAUCUUGGAAUAGGAUCAUGAAUAAGGAAUGGGGAAAAUGAAGUCCUCAUUCAUGUGAUCAUCAUCUUCUCUUACACUAGCUGUUAGUUUCCCAUGGACGUUUUCUCUCUCUGUGUCUCCUGACUCCCCCACUCAGUCUAGCCACUGUUAGGGUGACACCUUUUUCUUCUACAGCUGUUCCCAUCUGGAACAGCCUCAUUGCUCCACUACAAAUGACUUUCCACCAUGUCUCAAAUCUCAGAGGAAAACAUUGGUUUUUGUCCCACCUCUCUUCUUGCAAUUUAUUAUUUAACUCCAUUAUUAUAUUAUUCAAACUCUGUGAAAAAUUUUACGAUAGAGUUGGUAUGAAAGAUACUGCACAAAACACACUUGUCUUGCUGUGGACUGGGAGGUUAGUGGUCCCAAACACAUUUUAGAGCAGUGGGACUUUGGAAGCUAACUCCCUUAGACUUCUUUUGACAAUCCCAGCCCUGUAUAAUUUUGUAAACCUGUAAAACAAAGAUGAGAUGUGUCAGAUUAUUACACUUCCAGUCUCAUAAGAAUGGUUUAAAAAAAAAACACUUGGAAGACAAUUACGGACAUGCACAUCAUAAAGACAUCUAGAUGCUUGACAAAUGAGCUGUGGCAGCAGAAUAUUCUUGCAUUAUGCUAAGAAACCAAAUGACUAAAGGCAGAGGCAUUUAUAAUCCUUCUCAGGCAUUCGAAUAAACACACACAGCAACCAGUAAUAGAAAUGCA
Molecule: long non-coding RNA, 1087 nt
Filed under: Chrysemys picta bellii (western painted turtle)
Lineage: Eukaryota; Metazoa; Chordata; Testudines; Emydidae
Description: lncRNA (ENSCPBG00000024633.1)
Source: RNAcentral